AUUGAACGCUGGCGGCAGGCCUAACACAUGCAAGUCGAACGGUAGCACAGAGAGCUUGCUCUCGGGUGACGAGUGGCGGACGGGUGAGUAACGUCUGGGAAACUGCCCGAUGGAGGGGGAUAACUACUGGAAACGGUAGCUAAUACCGCAUAACGUCGCAAGACCAAAGUGGGGGACCUUCGGGCCUCACACCAUCGGAUGUGCCCAGAUGGGAUUAGCUAGUAGGUGGGGUAAUAGCUCACCUAGGAGACGAUCCCUAGCUGGUCUGAGAGGAUGACCAGCCACACUGGAACUGAGACACGGUCCAGACUCCUACGGGAGGCAGCAGUGGGGAAUAUUGCACAAUGGGCGCAAGCCUGAUGCAGCCAUGCCGCGUGUAUGAAGAAGGCCUUCGGGUUGUAAAGUACUUUCAGCGGGGAGGAAGGCGGUGAAGUUAAUAACUUCACCGAUUGACGUUACCCGCAGAAGAAGCACCGGCUAACUCCGUGCCAGCAGCCGCGGUAA
RNAcentral lists this ribosomal RNA (504 nucleotides) under uncultured bacterium. RNAcentral's name for it is "partial 16S ribosomal RNA". It matches the Rfam family "Bacterial small subunit ribosomal RNA", at positions 30 to 523 of the family's 1533-position model. The record is from RNAcentral.